UCAGAUUCCUCUGGAAAAGGAGCUUGCGGCGGCGGAGGUUGCGGGCCAGCGGAAGCGGCGCAUCGCCCAAGCGAUAGAGGGGAAACGUGAAGCCGGAGGAGAGGCGAAGUUCUGCGCGUCUUGUGGCAGGACAGAGGAAGCCGCCGGCAACUCUGCCACAGCGAAGGAGCUGCCAAGCUGUCAAAUACGGUCGGAGACGCCGAGCUCGCCGAGGAGGAGGAGGAGGAGGAGGAGAGAGAAGUGGCGGCGCAGGACGCAGCCAUCCGCAUGGCUCUGUGGUUCCGCAGCCGCCUCCAUCUUCGUCGCCUCCUCUCGCUUAACUCCGGGUGAGAUGCGGUGAGCUUACCCGCCCACGUCACGGGCCUCUCCUCCUCCCAGGGAGCGGCACGUGUCUCUACCGACCGCAUUUCUCACGGACCGCUCAUUUCCUACGGUCCUUUGGUUUGCCGGAAUACUGAUUUCAGUAAUUCUCACAUAGUGUCCCUCUAUGCUUAAUUAUUUGUGUUUUUUACCUAUUUACUCACUAUUUACUGUAAUAAUAAAAUUUUAAUGGGUUUAUUUAAAAUAUUUUUAUUCUGAAUAGAGUUUUAUGGAUAUUCUGCGCUGCAUGCAUCUAUAAAAAUAUCCUUAUAUUUUAAUAUGUAAGACUAUAUUUACACCCAUCUAAACUAGUCAAUUGUGGUUAAUAUAUAAUUUAACUUGAAAUAUCCAUAUCUCUUUCCACCCUCUUUCACAAGUAUGCCAGCCAUUUUUCUAUAUAAUAAUUCAUAGACGUAGAGCUGUUGUUUAUGGGAAGAGAGAGAGAGAGAGAGAGAGAGAGAGAGAGAGAGAGGUAAAAAGGAAGCAUAGCCAAUGAAGGAAUAAAAGUGAUUUUCAGGUCAUGAUAAUAAAAGAAAAAAUAAGAUAAAUGACUGGAUCUGUAUAAAGGGAACAAUUUUCAGAAUAAAGCCGAGAUUCCACGUCCGAUCCAGAUUAAGGAAUUCCCAAUUUCCGGGAACACGUUGAACCGAAGAUCUUGUGCCGUCAGCUGUGUCCCCGUUGACGGCGAGCGAAGAGGGAUUACAAGCUAUUGGGGAUCCCCGUCGUCUCCGAGUUCCCAUCUUCUCCGUUUGGAUCAUUUAUUCGUGAUCGAAACCCGGAAAGGGUUUUCCGUCAUCCUCAACGUUGGGCCGCAAAUCCAUCUCCUUUCCAGAGCAAUGGCCUGUACCGUCCGGCGGCGCCGCCGGUUCUCGUCCACGGGAACCGGGGCUUGGCCAGCGUCCGCCGCUUCGCCGCCACCCCCACGAUGUCUCCUGCGUUCUGCGAGGAAGAGACCAGACGAAGAUCAUAGGCAUGAGAAACUGCAAGAACUUGGAGGCUUCACCGGCGCGGGAGAGAGAGAGAUGAUCGAAACCUGGAGACAGAGCCCAUCUGGUACGUCGCAGAUCGGGUAGUCCUGAGGACAGCAGUAGCUAGUUCCGGUGCAGCAGACGGCGUUCUGGUAAGAGCAGCAGCCGUAGAUGAGGCAGUAGCUGCCGAGAUCAAGGAUGCAGCAGCAGGUCUCAUCCGCUGGGCAGUAAGAGUAGUCCCCGCACUGGGACGGCGAAGGGCUCGCCGGAGGAGGCGGCGGAGGAGGAGGCGGCGGCUCCACCGCCGGCGACGGUGGGGAGGCGGAGCCCGAAUGCUUGGUGGGGUAGGAGGCCAUGGCGUCGAUGGCGCAGACACCGUAGGGCAGCCCGGUGUUCCUCUU
This 1729-nucleotide long non-coding RNA is filed under the name Spirodela polyrhiza (greater duckweed). Its description in RNAcentral is "long non-coding RNA (SPOL_LNC001136)". Lineage: Eukaryota; Viridiplantae; Streptophyta; Magnoliopsida; Alismatales; Araceae. The record is from RNAcentral.